This 497-nucleotide ribosomal RNA is filed under the name uncultured bacterium. RNAcentral's name for it is "partial 16S ribosomal RNA". It matches the Rfam family "Bacterial small subunit ribosomal RNA", at positions 28 to 507 of the family's 1533-position model. The record is from RNAcentral.
GAUGAACGCUGGCGGCGUGCCUAAUACAUGCAAGUCGAGCGAACAGACGAGGAGCUUGCUCCUCUGACGUUAGCGGCGGACGGGUGAGUAACACGUGGAUAACCUACCUAUAAGACUGGGAUAACUUCGGGAAACCGGAGCUAAUACCGGAUAAUAUAUUGAACCGCAUGGUUCAAUAGUGAAAGACGGUUUUGCCGUCACUUAUAGAUGGAUCCGCGCCGCAUUAGCUAGUUGGUAAGGUAACGGCUUACCAAGGCAACGAUGCGUAGCCGACCUGAGAGGGGGAUAGGCCACAUGGGAAGUGGGCCACGGUCAAGACUCCUACGGGAGGCAGCAGUAGGGAAUCGGCCGCAAUGGGCGAAAGCUUGACGGAGCAACGCCGAGUGAGUGAUGACGGUCUCCGGAUCGUAAAACUCUGUUAUUAGGGAAGAACAAAUGUGUAAGUAACUAUGCCCGGCUUGACGGUACCUAAUCAGAAAGCCACGGCUAACUACGUG